This 202-nucleotide long non-coding RNA is filed under the name Elaeis guineensis (African oil palm). Its description in RNAcentral is "long non-coding RNA (EGUI_LNC020828)". The record is from RNAcentral. Lineage: Eukaryota; Viridiplantae; Streptophyta; Magnoliopsida; Arecales; Arecaceae.
GGUGGAUUCAAAAGUCCUAGAUCUUUGAGAUAAUUUAUAUUUAUAACUGAUUAGUUUACUAUUUUGAUCAUUCAUAAUUCAACAAUCAAUCUCUCUUCUUUUUCUUUAAAGCUCACCUGAGCAAGCAUUUAAAUACAGUUUAAAACUUAAUUCCUCAUGGGAUUGAUCCGUACUCGUCAGACGUGCUACAUUGCACACCGUG